AAAAACAGAACUAUAAAAAUUAAAUAGUCAUCUUAUUAUUUGCUUUCCGAGUAGAGCCUUGAUCCAAGGCUCUUUUUUUUCGCC
RNAcentral lists this non-coding RNA (84 nucleotides) under Actinobacillus succinogenes 130Z. RNAcentral describes it as "Aggregatibacter sRNA 20". It matches the Rfam family "Aggregatibacter sRNA 20". Rfam says of the family: Validated by RT-PCR and Northern blot. The record is from Rfam by way of RNAcentral. Lineage: Bacteria; Pseudomonadati; Pseudomonadota; Gammaproteobacteria; Pasteurellales; Pasteurellaceae.